RNAcentral lists this ribosomal RNA (158 nucleotides) under Ectophoma multirostrata. RNAcentral's name for it is "5.8S ribosomal RNA". The stretch from base 1 to 125 matches the Rfam family "5.8S ribosomal RNA", at positions 30 to 154 of the family's 154-position model. From Rfam's summary of the family: 5.8S ribosomal RNA (5.8S rRNA) is a component of the large subunit of the eukaryotic ribosome. Lineage: Eukaryota; Fungi; Ascomycota; Dothideomycetes; Pleosporales; Didymellaceae. The record is from RNAcentral.
GCAUCGAUGAAGAACGCAGCGAAAUGCGAUAAGUAGUGUGAAUUGCAGAAUUCAGUGAAUCAUCGAAUCUUUGAACGCACAUUGCGCCCCUUGGUAUUCCAUGGGGCAUGCCUGUUCGAGCGUCAUUUGUACCUUCAAGCUCUGCUUGGUGUUGGGUG